RNAcentral lists this long non-coding RNA (885 nucleotides) under Ricinus communis (castor bean). Its description in RNAcentral is "long non-coding RNA (RCOM_LNC001545)". Lineage: Eukaryota; Viridiplantae; Streptophyta; Magnoliopsida; Malpighiales; Euphorbiaceae. The record is from RNAcentral.
CACAAAAGGCAAAGUCACUGCCAAAACUAAUAAAAGAGGAAAACAACGAAACUCUAGUAACCAAUCUGACCAAUAACGAUUGACCAUAGAUGAUCAACCCACUUUGGGGGGAAUUAUUUGUAUAAGGAAACUAAUAUGGAGACUCGCCACGAAGACCAACCUAGAAGACUGAACCAACACGAAGAGGGAGACCUCUAGAUCUCCAUUUGGCGAUCAAUUGCGAUCUCUUCCCACACAGCCCUCUAACCUCGAAAUAAGGAAAACACGUGUCAAAGCCGAAAGCACGAACCGUUGCUAAAGUCAGAACCAUGCUUUCCCUUAGCUAGGACAAGACUAGAAGUGCCAUCCCCUAGAUAGCUGCUAGAAGGAAAGCUAGAAAGGUGAUUAUGGCAACCUCGGCAAUGCAUAAACUUGUUCCUCGAUGCGAAAGCAGACAUCCUGCGCAAGACAGCAGGCUUUGACCAAUCAAGAGAAAGCCUACCAAGUGAAUACACAGGGGAGACUGUGGAAGAUCCUUAUAUACAUUCAAGGAGAACAAUGAGGAAGGUAUGCAAUUAUAACCUAAUAGUCAAUAUCAAUUUUCUGCUUCAGAAUCCUCACUGACUUUACCAUCGGAAUGUACAAUCUGGUCUCCUACCAACCUCUCAUUUCGUAUUUGUUUAUCUUACAUGACCGAGCAUAUUAACUAACUAAGAUUAUUUCUAACCUUGCUAUACAACUUUGAUUCUUUUGAUUUUGCUUUUUGGCCUGCUAUCCCUUUAGACAUUUUAUACUCGUUACUGUUGGAGUAUUUUAAUAGAAUUAACUUUAGCUUGAUAAAGAAAAGAGAAAUUAUAUGCUUGGCUUGUCAACCCUCCGUAUUGACAUUUUUAAAAUGAAAAGUUG